UCCACCGAAGGCACGAACCGACUUUCUUCCGCUCUCCGCCGUCUUCGGUUGGGAUUUAUCAAGGCGGCCACGGCAAUUGAGAAGUUAAAGCUCAAAUCUUGCACCGUCCCGCGAUACGCACGACGUGCGAAAUCGAAGCUAUCUUCGCCUCUCACCUAUUGAUUCGAUUCUCUGAAGGCCGAGCUCUCUCUUUCGGGACCAAGUUCAGGUUGCAUUGAUCACUUCCAGCGAAGAUGUCGAUGUUGGUUUCAAGCACUAUAUCCUCCAUCCCUCAACUACCAAUAGUUAGAGCAGGUGCUUGGUUGCAAGGGCAAACUAAAGACUUGCCCACGGAUCUCCGCAUGCAAUCUCAAAAUCUAUACUCCCAAAGGCGAAAAGUAAAGCUCAUUGCUUCGAGUCCAGCUGGAAUGGGUUUACAACUAGAACCUACUGAUAGGAGAUUUGCCAAGGCUUCAGUUGGAAGGAGAUCGGCCUCAGCCAUCUGUUUUGCAGCUUUGAAUGCAAGAUGUGCCGAAGGGCAAACCCAGACUAUCACGCACAAAGCUCCGACGAUUACUCAAGCACCUACUCAUGUCCAGGAGAAGUCGCCACAGCUCGAUGAUGGUGGGACAGGCCUCCCGCCUCGUGAUGACGGCGAUGGUGGGGGUGGCGGGGGCGGCGGCGGUGGAAACUGGUCAGGUGGGUUCGCCUUUUUUGGCUUCCUCGCUUUCUUGGGCUUUUUAAAGGAUAAAGAAAGUGAAGGGGACUAUAGGGAUAGCAGGAGAAGAUGAAACUGGGUAUGAUGAGCUUGUGAGUCUAAUCUUCGAUUACCUCGACGGAAGUCCGCUUAGCAAGCAUAAUUGUCUAUACCGUUAUUAAUGCCAAAAUAAUUCCGAAUGACACAAUGCACUCUUAUUUGACUGAAUC
RNA transcript from Rhodamnia argentea, 906 nucleotides. It is a transcript of the gene named protein YELLOW LEAF 1, choloroplastic-like, with no coding region annotated. The transcript is spliced from 7 exons. NCBI's taxonomy places the organism in Eukaryota, Viridiplantae, Streptophyta, Magnoliopsida, Myrtales, Myrtaceae. The record is from RefSeq and is a predicted model, not a curated record.